GGCUUAACACAUGCAGUCGACGGUCUCUUCGGAGGCAGUGGCAGACGGGUGAGUAACGCGUGGGAAUCUACCUUUUGCUACGGAACAACAGUUGGAAACGACUGCUAAUACCGUAUGUGCCCGAAAGGGGAAAGAUUUAUCGGCAAAGGAUGAGCCCGCGUUGGAUUAGCUAGUUGGUAGGGUAAAGGCCUACCAAGGCGACGAUCCAUAGCUGGUCUGAGAGGAUGAUCAGCCACACUGGGACUGAGACACGGCCCAGACUCCUACGGGAGGCAGCAGUGGGGAAUAUUGGACAAUGGGCGCAAGCCUGAUCCAGCCAUGCCGCGUGAGUGAUGAAGGCCCUAGGGUUGUAAAGCUCUUUCACCGGUGAAGAUAAUGACGGUAACCGGAGAAGAAGCCCCGGCUAACUUCGUGCCAGCAGCCGCGGUAAUACGAAGGGGGCUAGCGUUGUUCGGAUUUACUGGGCGUAAAGCGCACGUAGGCGGACUUUUAAGUCAGGGGUGAAAUCCCGGGGCUCAACCCCGGAACUGCCUUUGAUACUGGAAGUCUU
Molecule: ribosomal RNA, 550 nt
Filed under: Brucella pecoris
Lineage: Bacteria; Pseudomonadati; Pseudomonadota; Alphaproteobacteria; Hyphomicrobiales; Brucellaceae
Description: bacterial SSU rRNA
Rfam family: Bacterial small subunit ribosomal RNA
Source: RNAcentral